RNAcentral lists this long non-coding RNA (296 nucleotides) under Mytilus galloprovincialis (Mediterranean mussel). The record is from RNAcentral. Lineage: Eukaryota; Metazoa; Mollusca; Bivalvia; Mytilida; Mytilidae.
GGUUGGUAUUGGUUCUCUGAUAUUUGUCCUAAAAUUUUUUGGAUCUAGCACCACUGUUGAAAAAGUUAUGCCCCUUUUUUCAACAAUUUCCUCAGAGGAAAAGUACUUUUCCUCAAGGGAAAUCAAAUUUCCCUGAAGGAAAAAGAUUUUUCCUCAAGGGAAAUUGUUUUUUCCUCAAGGGAAAAAGAUUUCCCUUAGGGAAUUUGCUGCAUAAUAAUUUCCUUUGAGGAAAUUCUAUUUCCUUAGAGGAAAUUCUUUUUCCUUAGAGGAAAUUCUUUUUCCUUAGAGGAAAUUCU